GAUCUCUUCUGCAUAUCCCUUGUCACAAAAUUGCUUGGCAGAAUAUAUUACCAUGUUGAUGGUGCAAAGAAUCCUGGAACUUUGCCUCCCAAUGUAUCAGCGGCUGUUAAUGGUGUGGCAUUCUGUGGAACUUUAUCAGGCCAACUCUUCUUUGGUUGGCUUGGUGACAAGAUGGGUCGGAAAAAGGUCUAUGGGAUAACCCUUAUACUCAUGGUGUUAUGUUCCGUUUGCUCAGGCCUUUCCUUUGGAAAGGACCCAAAAGGGGUUAUGGUAACACUUUGCUUCUUCAGAUUCUGGCUUGGGUUUGGUAUUGGCGGUGACUACCCACUUUCUGCCACUAUCAUGUCUGAAUAUGCUAAUAAA
This 363-nucleotide unclassified non-coding RNA is filed under the name Hevea brasiliensis (rubber tree). The record is from RNAcentral. Lineage: Eukaryota; Viridiplantae; Streptophyta; Magnoliopsida; Malpighiales; Euphorbiaceae.